RNAcentral lists this long non-coding RNA (594 nucleotides) under Mus spicilegus (steppe mouse). Its description in RNAcentral is "lncRNA (ENSMSIG00000010141.1)". Lineage: Eukaryota; Metazoa; Chordata; Mammalia; Rodentia; Muridae. The record is from RNAcentral.
UUGGGAGUCCUGUGAUCCCUUCUGUAUCUUUUAAGAAGUUAUUUUAUGUCUUAUAAUUGCCUCCAGCAUACUCACCAAUCUUGUCUAAGCUGAGCCUUCGGAUACAGAAGCUGAUUUGGAGGUGAUGGAUCAGAACUCCUUGGUUAAUUGUGAUGGUUGAGCUUCACAAUCAGCUUGACUGCGUCUGAAGCCAUAAAAAACGCAGCUCCGUGGUUCUCAAUGAAUAACAUGAGGGUGGAUUAAAAAGAAAGAACCAGUAUUCUUGAAUCUUUGGUGAACUCCAUUGAAAAAAAUCUUUGUGGAUUUGAACCUGGUCUUCAUGAGAUGCUAAUAGGAGGAAAGGAUUGUGUAUUUUGAAGCAGUCAAGUUCUCCAAAAGUCAUGCCUUGUCUUGCAGACAUUCAGAUUCUUAACACUGUCACUAUGUUCCUUGUUUCCAUUUCAGACAUUCUCCUCAGAAGAAUCAGGUCUUCUGUUGAUUUUUUUCCUUGCCUCACCCAAGCUGUUCUUUCACCCUUCCUCCAUUGGGAGUGGCAUCUUAAGUAUUCUUUCUUGGUGAUCCAACUAGGAGUAGAGUUAAACAGCACUUUAAACC